UGCAAUCGGGCAACGCGCCCACGCCGUCC
RNAcentral lists this small RNA (29 nucleotides) under Bombyx mori (domestic silkworm). Its description in RNAcentral is "ovarian small RNA-3735". The record is from RNAcentral. Lineage: Eukaryota; Metazoa; Arthropoda; Insecta; Lepidoptera; Bombycidae.